GCCGGAGUGAUGGAAUUGGCAGACGUGCUGGACUCAAAAUCCAGUCCUAGCGAUAGGGUGCGGGUUCAAGUCCCGCCUCCGGCACCA
Molecule: transfer RNA, 87 nt
Filed under: Clostridia bacterium
Lineage: Bacteria; Bacillati; Bacillota; Clostridia
Description: tRNA-Leu
Rfam family: tRNA
About the family: Transfer RNA (tRNA) molecules are approximately 80 nucleotides in length.
Source: RNAcentral